Molecule: long non-coding RNA, 652 nt
Filed under: Brassica rapa (field mustard)
Lineage: Eukaryota; Viridiplantae; Streptophyta; Magnoliopsida; Brassicales; Brassicaceae
Description: long non-coding RNA (BRAP_LNC007689)
Source: RNAcentral
UCAAGUUGUGAGAGCUAACCACCUCAAUCGGUCCCCGUAAGUUCAGCGUGAUACGCUCCACUACAUUUUCAACUCUACACAUAGACAUGUCGUAUACUCGCUGCGGCAAUGAAUCAUGUCACUUCAUGCGGUCCCUGCAUGAUCCAAAAAGAAACUAUGCAACGGUUUACAAGUAUUCAAUCUGUUACAUUGCACAACCACACAUAUACCUUAACCCUUUACCUACACAUGUUAUAAACCCACGCAAUACAAAUACUGAGGUGCAAGUCUCAAUCACCCUACAACCAAAUUCAUUUUAACAACCUAUGAGUAGAUUUGGUGUUCACACAACGAUACUAGUUUAUAUAUAUGUUAUAGUUCACUUAUCAACCAAAUACGUGUAUGCUUAUACGUAUGUAUGAAAGGUUUAGAUAGAAACUCCUACAAAGAAAUGAGAAUGAAAGAAAGAAGAAAGAUCACCUCUUCAAUGUUCACAAGGAUGUGAUUUACCGGUUUCCAUAGACCGAAUAUUAGCUUAUAUGUGGUUUCCGAACCUCUCCUUGUUCGUUUGUUACCUUUGCAAACAAGUUUUUAUGGUUUUGUUUUAUAAAGCAACUUAAAGAAAAAAAUUCUAAAUGACAGAAGUAAAUAAAUUUUCUUGGGUUUUUAUUUU